CCUACGGGUGGCAGCAGUGAGGAAUAUUGGUCAAUGGACGAGAGUCUGAACCAGCCAAGUAGCGUGAAGGAUGACUGCCCUAUGGGUUGUAAACUUCUUUUAUAAAGGAAUAAAACGAGGCACGUGUGCCUUUUUGUAUGUACUUAUUGAUAAAGGACGGCUAACUCCGGGCCAGGAGCCGCGGUAAUACGGAGGAUCCGAGCGUUAACCGGAUUUAUUGGGGUUAAAGGGAGCGUAGAUGGGUUGUUAAGUCAGUUGUGAAAGUUUGCGGCUCAACCGUAAAAUUGCAAUUGAUACUGGCAGUCUUGAGUACAGUUGAGGUAGGCGGAAUUCGUGGUGUAGCGGUGAAAUGCUUAGAUAUCACGAAGAACUCCGAUUGCGAAGGCAGCUUACUAAACUGCCACUGACAUUGAUGCUCGAAAGUGUGGGUAUCAAACAGGAUUAGAUACCCCAGUAGUC
RNAcentral lists this ribosomal RNA (459 nucleotides) under uncultured bacterium. Its description in RNAcentral is "partial 16S ribosomal RNA". It matches the Rfam family "Bacterial small subunit ribosomal RNA", at positions 338 to 795 of the family's 1533-position model. The record is from RNAcentral.